Molecule: long non-coding RNA, 1137 nt
Organism: Eucalyptus grandis
Lineage: Eukaryota; Viridiplantae; Streptophyta; Magnoliopsida; Myrtales; Myrtaceae
Exons: 4
Source: RefSeq, a predicted model, not a curated record
GUUUCUAUUUGCCUUUUGUCUUUCCAUGUGAAGAAGAAGAAAUCUCGAUAGAAUCUUGAUCGGGAGGUUUCAGUGCAGACGUUAAAGCUGAAGGACCAAGAGUUUUUAGUAGAGGCUAGCCAUGUGCUGUCAGAGAUAGUCACAAAGCAAAGUCGGAGUUUGACCCUGUUGCUUCAUAAUAAAAAUUUACUAGUAGGCUUGAGAAACCUGGUUACUCUUGACUGCCCAUGCUGAGGAAUCUGUUGCUUCCAGGACUGCUGUUGAAAUAAUAUUCCACUGCUCCCAGUUGGAAAACAAAGAUAACUUUUCUAAAAGUGUAAGCUCUUCAAAACUCUCUUGAAAGGUCCCAUUUGAUAUUGUUCCUUGCCAUAUCUUUUCAUUGUUUUAGUCUUGUACUCCGUUGUUACCUCUUCUUAGGAUCCUAAUCUGAGAAUUUCCAGACUAGUUGAGUCUGGGAGUUCUCUUACUAUUUGCUAAACCGAAGUUAUCGAGGACAAGUUUUACACAGAACCUGCAAUCAUAUUGUCUAAUAUUUACUGCACUAGUGAUUUGGCAUACCGUAAGACUUGUUGCAGGAGAAUUUAUUAUUCAUUGAUUGCUAUGACUUUGAUACUACUGGGAACCAUGCACUUAUAAGGUCAAUGCCUACUCUAAUGAAAUUUGUAGUACUUAGGCUUUUUUUAUGCUAAUUUGCUUCUCGUUUAUUACAGUAAACUUCAGAAGACCAUGGCAGACUUGGAGGAACUUCAUAAAGAAAAAAAUGUUGCAAAUUUCACUUUACCAGCUUCUCAUCAUGGCCAUGAAAAGGCUGUGUGUCAUUCUUAAAUAGUUUAAUACUCUUCAUUCUGAUGAGCCCUUUCAGGUUUAUAACUUCUCUGUAUAGGUUCUAAAGAGUCAGCUUUCCAUGGAUCAAUUUUGUGAGAAGCAACAGCACAGCUUUCUUGAUUACAUUAUCACGUGGUUCUUGAGCUUCUAUAAUUGCUGUCAACUUUACAGCUUCAAAUGGAAAUCCCAGAAAUCCAGAUUCCUUGCAUGACAACGAUCCUUCAGGAAGAUACAAUUCCUACUGGCAGAAGAACGACGAAGUGAAACACGUCCUCUCCUUUCUCCAGCAUGUCCCACCGUCUCUGCCUCCCC